GGAGAGGUGGCCGAGUGGUUGAAGGCGGCGGUCUCGAAAACCGCUGUGGGGGUAACUCCACCGGGGGUUCGAAUCCCCCCCUCUCCGC
RNAcentral lists this transfer RNA (88 nucleotides) under bacterium BMS3Abin08. RNAcentral describes it as "tRNA-Ser". It matches the Rfam family "tRNA". From Rfam's summary of the family: Transfer RNA (tRNA) molecules are approximately 80 nucleotides in length. Their secondary structure includes four short double-helical elements and three loops (D, anti-codon, and T loops). RNAcentral also lists the same sequence under 1 other name. The record is from RNAcentral.